GAUGAAAACGUAGCGAAAUGCGAUAAGUAAUGUGAAUUGCAGAAUUCAGUGAAUCAUCGAAUCUUUGAACGCACAUUGCGCCCGCCAGUAUUCUGGCGGGCAUGCCUGUCCGAGCGUCAUUUCAACCAUCAAGCCCCGGGCUUGUGUUGGGGACCUGCGUCCGACGCAGGCCCUGAAAACCAGUGGCGGGCUCGCUGUCCACACCGAGCGUAGUAACUAACCUCGCUAUGGAGUGGCGCGGGCGCCUGCCGUAAAACCCCCAAUUUCACAAGGUUGACCUCGGAUCAGGUAGGAAUACCCGCUGAACUUAAGCAUAUCAAUAAGCGGAGGA
This 331-nucleotide unclassified non-coding RNA is filed under the name soil metagenome. Its description in RNAcentral is "partial contains 5.8S ribosomal RNA, internal transcribed spacer 2, and large subunit ribosomal RNA". The stretch from base 1 to 119 matches the Rfam family "5.8S ribosomal RNA", at positions 35 to 154 of the family's 154-position model. The record is from RNAcentral.